AUGGCCGGUGGUUUCGACCAGUGGUUCAUUUCUACAGGUUGCGUGGUGCAGGUCUCCAUGUCGGGUGGGCGGGCUGUAGAUGUUUCCUCUCCUGUCGGUCCUCUUGAUGUGCUCCGGCCAGAUGCCGUGGUGGGGGUGUGGCUGUUAUUCCUCUUCCUUAUCCGGCAGCGCCGGCGAAAGGACGACGUGGUGCUGGACAGACUCCCUUCCCCUUCCUCCUCUGUGGAUAUUUCUUUCCUUUCUUCCUUCCUUACUGAGUUCAGCAGUUUUGUACGGAAGCUGGGCUCCGGCUCUCUUCUACCUCAGCUCCAACAUUUUGUUCAUGGGUGCGCUUAUACUAAACAAAAUUAA
Molecule: ribosomal RNA, 351 nt
Filed under: Triticum aestivum (bread wheat)
Lineage: Eukaryota; Viridiplantae; Streptophyta; Magnoliopsida; Poales; Poaceae
Description: partial small subunit ribosomal RNA
Source: RNAcentral